RNAcentral lists this ribosomal RNA (614 nucleotides) under Russula jilinensis. RNAcentral's name for it is "eukaryotic LSU rRNA". The stretch from base 163 to 316 matches the Rfam family "5.8S ribosomal RNA". Lineage: Eukaryota; Fungi; Basidiomycota; Agaricomycetes; Russulales; Russulaceae. The record is from RNAcentral.
UGUCGCUGGCCUUCAAGGUCGUGCACGCCCGGGCCCUCUCACAAUCCAUCUCACCCUUUGUGCAUCACCGCGUGGGUCCCCUUUGCGGGAGGGCUCACGUUUUAACAUAAAAACUCGAUACAGUGUAGAAUGUUUAUUUUUGCGGUCACACGCGAUCAAUACAACUUUCAACAACGGAUCUCUUGGCUCUCGCAUCGAUGAAGAACGCAGCGAAAUGCGAUACGUAAUGUGAAUUGCAGAAUUCAGUGAAUCAUCGAAUCUUUGAACGCACCUUGCGCCCCUUGGCAUUCCGAGGGGCACACCCGUUUGAGUGUCGUGAAAUCCUCAAAACCCCUCUUCUUUGGGAGUUUUGGAAUUGGAGGUUUAAUGCUCGCUUUUGCCUUUGAAAGUGAGCUCCUCUCAAAUGAAUCAGUGGGGUCUGCUUUGCUGGUCCUUGACGUGAUAAGAUGUUUCUACGUCUUGGAUUUGGCAUCGUCCCUGCUCCUAAUCGUCUCAUGGACAAUGAUGGUGCUUCCGGUCACCGCCAUCCACAUCGGCGGGAGGCUGGACCCACAAAAAGAAAACCUUGACCUCAAAUCGGGUGAGACUACCCGCUGAACUUAAGCAUAUCAAAA